Molecule: ribosomal RNA, 490 nt
Filed under: uncultured bacterium
Lineage: Bacteria
Description: partial 16S ribosomal RNA
Rfam family: Bacterial small subunit ribosomal RNA
Source: RNAcentral
AUUGAACGCUGGCGGCAGGCCUAACACAUGCAAGUCGAACGGUAACAGGAAGAAGCUUGCUUCUUUGCUGACGAGUGGCGGACGGGUGAGUAAUGUCUGGGAAACUGCCUGAUGGAGGGGGAUAACUACUGGAAACGGUAGCUAAUACCGCAUAACGUCGCAAGACCAAAGAGGGGGACCUUCGGGCCUCUUGCCAUCGGAUGUGCCCAGAUGGGAUUAGCUAGUAGGUUGGGUAACGGCUCACCUAGGCGACGAUCCCUAGCUGGUCUGAGAGGAUGACCAGCCACACUGGAACUGAGACACGGUCCAGACUCCUACGGGAGGCAGCAGUGGGGAAUAUUGCACAAUGGGCGCAAGCCUGAUGCAGCCAUGCCGCGUGUAUGAAGAAGGCCUUCGGGUUGUAAAGUACUUUCAGCGGGGAGGAAGGGAGUAAAGUUAAUACCUUUGCUCAUUGACGUUACCCGCAGAAGAAGCACCGGCUAACUCCGUG